AUUACCAUCCGAACUCCUCCAGUGGUCGGCCUUCCACAGUGUCCUCCAGAUUCCUCUAACAGACGAACUCCUAUCGUGCCAUCUGGACUUCUCCAAUCAUGACCUCCUCCAUUCAUCUACCGGACUGCUCCAAACGCUCUCUGAGCUUCACUUUCAGUGAUUCUCUACAGUGAUCGACUAUUCUUCGAAGCUCUUCUAGACUUCUCCCAGCC
This 212-nucleotide long non-coding RNA is filed under the name Elaeis guineensis (African oil palm). RNAcentral's name for it is "long non-coding RNA (EGUI_LNC046294)". The record is from RNAcentral. Lineage: Eukaryota; Viridiplantae; Streptophyta; Magnoliopsida; Arecales; Arecaceae.